AAUGCUUAGGAAUCUGCCUAUUAGUGGGGGACAACAUUCCGAAAGGAAUGCUAAUACCGCAUACGCCCUACGGGGGAAAGCAGGGGAUCUUCGGACCUUGCGCUAAUAGAUGAGCCUAAGUCAGAUUAGCUAGUUGGUGGGGUAAAGGCCUACCAAGGCGACGAUCUGUAGCGGGUCUGAGAGGAUGAUCCGCCACACUGGGACUGAGACACGGCCCAGACUCCUACGGGAGGCAGCAGUGGGGAAUAUUGGACAAUGGGCGAAAGCCUGAUCCAGCCAUGCCGCGUGUGUGAAGAAGGCCUUUUGGUUGUAAAGCACUUUAAGCGAGGAGGAGGCUACUUGGAUUAAUACUCUAGGAUAGUGGACGUUACUCGCAGAAUAAGCACCGGCUAACUCUGUGCCAGCAGCCGCGGUAAUACAGAGGGUGCGAGCGCUAAUCGGAUUUACUGGGCGUAAAGCGUGCGUAGGCGGCUUUUUAAGUCGGAUGUGAAAUCCCUGAGCUUAACUUAGGAAUUGCAUUCGAUACUGGGAAGCUAGAGUAUGGGAGAGGAUGGUAGAAUUCCAGGUGUAGCGGUGAAAUGCGUAGAGAUCUGGAGG
This 597-nucleotide ribosomal RNA is filed under the name uncultured bacterium. RNAcentral's name for it is "bacterial SSU rRNA". It matches the Rfam family "Bacterial small subunit ribosomal RNA", at positions 112 to 704 of the family's 1533-position model. The record is from RNAcentral.